Molecule: ribosomal RNA, 253 nt
Filed under: uncultured bacterium
Lineage: Bacteria
Description: partial 16S ribosomal RNA
Rfam family: Bacterial small subunit ribosomal RNA
Source: RNAcentral
UACGAAGGGGGCUAGCGUUGCUCGGAAUCACUGGGCGUAAAGGGCGCGUAGGCGGCCUGAUCAGUCGGGGGUGAAAGCCUGUGGCUCAACCACAGAAUGGCCCUCGAUACUGUCGGGCUUGAGACCGGAAGAGGUAAGUGGAACUGCGAGUGUAGAGGUGAAAUUCGUAGAUAUUCGCAAGAACACCAGUGGCGAAGGCGGCUUACUGGUCCGGAUCUGACGCUGAGGCGCGAAAGCGUGGGGAGCAAACAGG